CGGAGUGAACGCACCACUGGUGUUCGGGUUGUCAUGCCAAUGGCAUUGCCCGGUAGCUAAGUGCGGAAGAGAUAACCGCUGAAAGCAUCUAAGCGGGAAACUUGCCUCGAGAUGAGUCUUCCCUGUCACUUUAAGUGACCUAAAGGAACGUUUAAGACUAAGACGUUGAUAGGCUGGGUGUGUAAGCGUAGCGAUACGUUGAGCUAACCAGUACUAAUGAACCGUGAGGCUUAACCUGACAACACCGAAAGUGUU
This 255-nucleotide ribosomal RNA is filed under the name Proteus mirabilis. RNAcentral's name for it is "partial 23S ribosomal RNA". It matches the Rfam family "Bacterial large subunit ribosomal RNA", at positions 2693 to 2925 of the family's 2925-position model. The record is from RNAcentral. Lineage: Bacteria; Pseudomonadati; Pseudomonadota; Gammaproteobacteria; Enterobacterales; Morganellaceae.